UCGGACCCAAUAGCUAUCAAGAUUGUGCCUUUAUACCUUCUAGUCACAAAUGUGCCAUCAAUGCAAAUGACUGGACGACAUCACUGAAAAGCCUCAAUGCAAGGACCCAAGGCUAGGAAUGACCGCUGCAUGACCUGUUUGCCUGGAAACUGAGCACAUGGAUAGGCUUUCAGGUCGUAGUAGCGUACUGGGUUCCUCUGGCAUAUGGUGUGCAAUAGGAGAGGGAGGUUGUCAUACGAUGCUUCGUACGUACCCCACUUCAUCUCCAACACCUUUUUCUUGGCUCGGUAAGCUUUGUGGUAGGUAAUCUUAUACUUGAACUUCUCCUCUAUGGCACAAACAAUCGACUUGGGCUCGAAGCUGGGAUUCUCCACUAUCUGGGGAUACAUGUAUUGAGCCACAAAAUCAAUAGUGAGGUUGCGGUGUGUUCCUUCCAAUUCAUCCAGCAAGCAUUGGUGCUCAACCAAUCUAGUCACCUCCCAGUAAUCCUUCCACUUCCCCUUGUAUGCGUGCACCCUAAACGGGCAAUUGCUUCUCACACAGCAGACAUUAUACACCGUCGGGUUGCUCCUUACCACCCUGAACUGCCACUGCAAAGAUAAAGUGGACCAUCGCUUCACAGCUGUCUUCACCUCAUCCCCACUAGGGUACAAAGCACCCACGCAAACCUCAUUCUUCCUAUGCUCCCAAGGGACAUUUUCCCCUACAUUGACCUACAGGGCAGAAUGGUCAUAAGUUGACUAGUUCCACGGGACAGGGUAAGCAUCUUUCUCAUCCGAUGAGUCAUCAUCCAUCGCACCAUUGGCCUCUUGUCCUUCCCUCUCCACCUGCUCAACUAACUCACGGAUGUCUUCCCCCUCAACAGCCUCCCCAUUUGGCUCACGGGUUGCAACAUCAUCCUCUGCAUCUCCCUCUUCUGCCCCAUCUUCAUCAUAUUUUUCAUUUUGCCCAUCAGUACUCUCCACACCUUCCUCGGGUUAAACUUCAACACCUCCCACUUCUUCUUCCAUCUGACUACUAGACCUAAUCUUCAUGAACACUUGAACAUACAAUAUCAGCGGUAAACUGUGCUUCAUGCAACCAUUUACAUCAGCCCGGUAGUUCUGGGUUCCUUCAAUCGGGAUCAGCUCCCAAAAGUUUAUGUCAGGUUGUCUCCUCACUACAGCCCUAACAGACAGAUCCACUUGAUCUCUAUCAAGAUCGAAAUCCUUACAAAGCCACUUGCAUAUUGAACCCCAAGUCCUCUCUCUUCCUCUUAGUAAAUUCUUGCAGAACGACUAAAAUUCAGACAAAUCUACCUCUUUUGGAUCAUAUCUAACCUCCCCUCAACUAUAAAACACUUGGAAAUAUAAACUUUUCGACAUGCCUGCCAAUAUACACGACACGAACAGUGAAAAUUACUCUCAAUAACUUAAAUUAGUUAAUUGCAACGAUACCUACAUUUCAAUAUACGGUACAAAUAUGUAAUUCUAUCAUCGACAAUAAUAACCAUUUUAGAGCUAUCCAAAAUUACGAAGUAAUUCAUUUCAUUUUACCUGGUCAAUACACACGAUAGUACCAUAGGCAAUUACUAAAUUAAUCUAACCCUAAACAGCGGGUCAAUAUACGCGACAAGAACAAAAAUUCUAACUACAUCUAAUAAUUCCAAGUACCCCUGAAACAACUACAUUCUGAAUACCUAUACAUAAUAUAACCCUAGCAUUGCAAAUAAUAUUCAUCUAAAAUUAAUUUACAUAAAUCAACAAACUAAUUUUACUGUAAACUAAAUACCUUAGCUAAAUCCACUAAACUGAGUAAGCUAUAUUUUUCUAUGUCUCAAAUCCACUAGAAUAACUAAGCUACAUUUUUCUAUGUCUCAAAUCCACUAAACUAACUACUAGAUCUAUCUACUACGAGCUAACCUAAACUACGGGAUUAGAAAAAAUACCUCUAACGAAGCGAGGAACGGGACUUCAAUCUCCUCUCCCCUCCCCUCCUCCCUCCCUUCCUUCUUCUCUCCCUCCCUCCCUUCCUCUUCUCUCC
This 2022-nucleotide long non-coding RNA is filed under the name Setaria viridis. RNAcentral's name for it is "long non-coding RNA (SVIR_LNC007786)". The record is from RNAcentral. Lineage: Eukaryota; Viridiplantae; Streptophyta; Magnoliopsida; Poales; Poaceae.